This 400-nucleotide unclassified non-coding RNA is filed under the name soil metagenome. Its description in RNAcentral is "partial contains 5.8S ribosomal RNA, internal transcribed spacer 2, and large subunit ribosomal RNA". The stretch from base 1 to 122 matches the Rfam family "5.8S ribosomal RNA", at positions 35 to 154 of the family's 154-position model. The record is from RNAcentral.
GAUGAAGAACGUAGCGAAAUGCGAUACUUGGUGUGAAUUGCUGAAUCCCGUGAACCAUCGAGUCUUUGAACGCAAGUUGCGCCUCAAGCCAUUAGGUUGAGGGCACGUCUGCCUGGGCGUCACAUAUCGUUGCCUGAUGCCAGUUUCCUCGUGAUGGGUGACUGUGCAGGGCGAAUGAUGGCUUCCCGUGAGCAUUGUUGCCUCAUGGUUGGUUGAAAAUUGAGUCCUUGGUAGGGAGCGCCGUGAUAGAUGGUGGUUGAGUGACGAACGAGACCCAAUCAUGUGAGACCCCUCCCGAAUUUGGCCUUCAUGACCCACAUGCGUCUUUGGAACGCUCAUGACGAGACCUCAGGUCAGGCGGGGCUACCCGCUGAGUUUAAGCAUAUCAAUAAGCGGAGGA